UUUCCUUUUCUUCUUUGUCUCUCUCAUUUUUCUCCAUUCCUUCUUCAACUUUGAUUUUCCAAAUCAAACUCUACAAAACUUUUAGUAAGUGAAAAUCAAAUUCUUCUUUUAAGCUUGAAAGAUUUGGGCUUUCUUAAUCAAGGAAAACAAAGGUGAGUAAUUUUAAUUGCUUGAUUUUGCUGUAAAUUAGGGUUAAUGAUAUGAAAUUGUUGAUGAUUAUGUGUUUUGGAAUUGUUUAAUCAAGAGUAAACAUGCUUUUACUUGUGAUCUUGAAGCUGAAAUUUCUGGGCAGAUUUUUCACUUAUGAUUUCGUGACCUUAGAGGCUUUAUCUCGAAAAUUUUCAAACAUGAAAGUUGUAGGUAUAUGUCUCAAGAAUAUCUCUGUAAAAUGGUUUUGCAGAUUGUUGAGUGAGUAGGAACUUAUGAGGUUCGAUUUUGCUGCUGCUCUGUUUUUGGUUCAGCAGGUGACCUGGUUUUUGUACUGACAUUUUGAGGCAUUUAGAGGCUGAACCAAGCAGAGAGUUAAACAUGAAAGUUGUUUAUUUAUAUAUGUAGUAUAUGUCUGAAAAAUUUCAUAAUUUUUGGUUGAGUAUAACGUGAGAUAUGUUGAACUUAAUAUGGCCUGCCCGAAACUGUUUUAAGCAGAAAUCGGGCUUAGGAUUCAGAAAUUUGUUGCUAAUUGUGUGUUUCACAACUUGAGCUAGAAAAGUCCAAAUUGAGUAAAAUUAGUGUCUAUAGAAACUUUAGAAUGUUAACUUUAUAUCUGGAGAGUUUCAUCAGAAAAUUCAUUUGUUUGAUUGGUCAUUUAAUAGGAAACUUUUUUUUCUGUUCUGUUUAGAUGGAAAUUUGAGCAGCUGUAUAGAAAAUGCCAUAACUAUUUCUAUACCAAUGAUUUUGAGGUGAUUCUUUCUGCUAUGGUUUCUAUAAAAAUGAAAGUGUAAUUCUGGAAAAUAUGAGAUUUUUAUUAAUUGUACAUAAGUUUUGGUGUAAUUUCUAAGUCAGUACCUACAAGCUGCCUUUAUCAACAAAUAUGUUGAUUUGUUGUCAUUCAUCUCAUGCAUCAUAUUAAUAUCUAGAAUAUAUGUUAUUUUGUUGAAAUGUGAUAUUUUAUUGAUAGUAAAUAUAUAUAUAUAUAUUUAUGCCUUGUGAUUGAAUUGUAUUUGUAUUGAAUAUGUGAAUAGGUUCAUCCAAAGGCAAGGAAGUGGUAAGAGAAAAAGAAUAGGAUUACUUUGUUAUCCUAUAACUUCUGGUAAGUAUUUAAUAGACUAAACUUUGUGUAUAUUGAGUAAGGACUGCUGUUUGAUUACUUGAUAAUUUCUUGGUUGACUGAGUUGAUAUUAGUUAGGUUUUUGGCUUGUUAUAAAGUGAAUUGAUUGUGAUGUGUUGUGAAGUGAAUUGAUUGUGAUGUGUUGUGAAGUGAAAUGAUUGUGAUUAAGGAUUGAUGACUUUUGUAUGGAUAUUGUGUGAUCGGGAAAGCUGAGCCGGGCGGAUAGCUACCCGAGUAUGUGAGAUGGCAAGACUGAGCCGGGCGGAUAGUCUUGUCAAGUGGUUACUGAAAUUUAAAAAUGUGAGGAAAUGUAAGGAUGAGUCAUCUGAUCCUAAUUUGAUAGAAAUAAUGUGGAAUUGAAUUAUUUGACUUGGUUGAGUUUGAGAUUAUUUGCAUUACGUGAGAUGAAAUUAUAUGUUUAUGAGAAUAACUGAAAUGGUUGAUUUUGUGAUUGUUAGUUAAGUGUUGGUAUAAUUUUCUGUAUUGAUAAAGAUUUGGUAAUUCUAGCCUAAUAUACUAUAGUUUAGUAAAUUAAAUGCUUAUUGAGUCGCUAGCUCAUUCCUUAGCAAUUUUUUUUUUUCAGGUUAGUGCAGUUGUAAAUAGCCUUAGCUGUGCAUUGCUCUUUUUGCAUCAGUCAAUAUUAUCAGGUGGGCCAGAGGAGUUAUCUAAAGCAUUGGGGCAUUUUGGGAACUUGUGUGAAUUAAACUACUGUAUAAAUAUUUCUUAUAUAUAUUAAGUAUGUCAUGCCACUUAAAUUGUAUGAAUGUAUAUUGUAACUAAGUAGUAAAUUAUGUUUAUAAAGUUAUAUAUAUAUAUAUAUUGCUAUUCAAUGGGAAGUUUGAGUUGGGGUGUUAUAAUAACUCAAUUCAAAUAUACAGUAAAUAUCUGGCCACAGAUUAAAAUCUGAUUAUUUAAUAUUUUAUUAGAAUUAGGACGUAAGGAUUCUAGCUGUAUAGAGGCACACUGCACAGAGUUACCUGUAACAUUCUCAGUAUCAG
This 2265-nucleotide long non-coding RNA is filed under the name Ricinus communis (castor bean). RNAcentral's name for it is "long non-coding RNA (RCOM_LNC001536)". The record is from RNAcentral. Lineage: Eukaryota; Viridiplantae; Streptophyta; Magnoliopsida; Malpighiales; Euphorbiaceae.